RNAcentral lists this ribosomal RNA (498 nucleotides) under uncultured bacterium. Its description in RNAcentral is "partial 16S ribosomal RNA". It matches the Rfam family "Bacterial small subunit ribosomal RNA", at positions 28 to 507 of the family's 1533-position model. The record is from RNAcentral.
GACGAACGCUGGCGGCGUGCCUAAUACAUGCAAGUCGAACGAGAGCGACCGGUGCUUGCACUGGUCAAUCUAGUGGCGAACGGGUGAGUAACACGUGGGUAACCUGCCCAUCAGAGGGGGAUAACAUCCGGAAACGGAUGCUAAAACCGCAUAGGUCUUCGAGCCGCAUGGCUUGAAGAGGAAAAGAGGCGCAAGCUUCUGCUGAUGGAUGGACCCGCGGUGCAUUAGCUAGUUGGUGAGGUAACGGCUCACCAAGGCCGUGAUGCAUAGCCGACCUGAGAGGGUGAUCGGCCACAUUGGGACUGAGACACGGCCCAAACUCCUACGGGAGGCAGCAGUAGGGAAUCUUCCGCAAUGGACGCAAGUCUGACGGAGCAACGCCGCGUGAGUGAAGAAGGUUUUCGGAUCGUAAAACUCUGUUGUUAGAGAAGAACAAGUGCUAGAGUAACUGUUAGCGCCUUGACGGUAUCAAACCAGAAAGCCACGGCUAACUACGUG